GCGCAGCAGCAGCAGCAUGCGGUGGGGGAGAAUCAUAGGGAUUCGUUGAUGAUGGAUCUUGAUUUGGAUCUCGACGCUUCCUGGUCAUUUGAUCAGAUCUUCGCCGCAGCUGCUUCAGCUUCAAAUCCUAUGUCGCCGUUUCUCGUAUCGGCUGCUUCUGAACAGCCUUGUUCUCCACUUUGGGCUUUUUCUGAUGAAAACGAAGAUAAGCCUAACGGAAAUGCUCUCUCUACAGGCAGUUUACGGCUCUCCAACUACCCUAGAUUUGUCACUUAUGCUAAUGAACAUGAGGCUGCACCUGAAACUGUGUCUGUCACUGAUGAUAAGAAAAGAAUCCCUCCACCAAUUAAAGGAUUAGCCCCGUUAGAUUAUCUGGAUAGUUCUUGCAUAAUCAA
This 395-nucleotide unclassified non-coding RNA is filed under the name Hevea brasiliensis (rubber tree). The record is from RNAcentral. Lineage: Eukaryota; Viridiplantae; Streptophyta; Magnoliopsida; Malpighiales; Euphorbiaceae.